Molecule: ribosomal RNA, 365 nt
Filed under: uncultured bacterium
Lineage: Bacteria
Description: bacterial SSU rRNA
Rfam family: Bacterial small subunit ribosomal RNA
Source: RNAcentral
CAGCAGUGAGGAAGGCAGGUACGUUAAUAGCGUACUUGUUUGACGUUAGCUGCAGAAGAAGCACCGGCUAACUCCGUGCCAGCAGCCGCGGUAAUACGGAGGGUGCGAGCGUUAAUCGGAAUUACUGGGCGUAAAGCGCAUGCAGGUGGUUGUUAAGUCAGAUGUGAAAGACCCGGGGCGUCAACCUCGGAAUUGCAUUUGAAACUGGCAGACUAGAGUACUGUAGAGGGGGUAGAAUUUCAGGUGUAGCGGUGAAAUGCGUAGAGAUCUGAAGGAAUACCGGUGGCGAAGGCGGCCCCCUCGGACAGAUACUGACACUCAGAUGCGAAAGCGUGGGGAGCAAACAGGAUUAGAUACCCUGGUAG